Long non-coding RNA from Cyprinus carpio (common carp), 1320 nucleotides. RefSeq lists it as uncharacterized. The transcript is spliced from 4 exons. NCBI's taxonomy places the organism in Eukaryota, Metazoa, Chordata, Actinopteri, Cypriniformes, Cyprinidae. The record is from RefSeq and is a predicted model, not a curated record.
AGUAAAUUCCAUAAACAAAAUACAUUUGAAAAGUAGCAAAAACAAAUAAUGAAGGCACGAAAUGUUUCCAAGACCAUUGUAAUUAGAUAUUUUUAAUAAAAAUCCAUUGUAACUAGAAAAACAAACAAAUAUGGAAGAAUAUAAAGACCUUGCGUCUUGAACUUUUGAACAUAAAACUGAAUAAAAAUAUAAAAGAAACAGAAGUGACUGAAGAUCUUUCUGCUAUAGUUUGGAUGGUGUAAAAUAUAGAGCAAUGGUGUCCUCCAGUGUUCAUUAACCGAAGCACUCGGUAUUUACAGCUGAUUGUAAUUGUCAGUGUACUUCCGGGCACAAGUGCAGAGAUGCGUCUUGCAUCUGUUCAUUCAUAACUACGUUAGUUUUUAAUUAUGUACCAUCAACCUGUACUGAAAAACAGACGGACUCUACUGGAGCGAGUAGAGACUUCACAGACUUCAACCUUACAGCAAAAAUGUUUGGAGACACUCACUCAGUUGAGUCCAUCUCUGUGUUCCUGUCAGAGAGGCCAUACAGCAAAACCUUCAUCCUUGUGACGUUGAUGGUGGAUGUGCUGGUUAAAAGUGGUCUUAAAGAUCCCAGAAGCCUGGAGAGGAAAGGAGGUCCACCUGAGAUGGGAAAGCGAUGGAGAAUUUGGUUCAGUCUGAGUGUUUUUAUCUCAAUUUUCAGCAUUACCCUAUAUGUGGAACUUGCAUGUAAUGGACCCCGACCCAAACAGGAAGUUUACUCUCCUGAAAGCCGAGCUUGUUGUUUUCACUCGAGCCGUCAGAGAGCUUCUCACUGACUUUGAGAUGCGUGUGGAUAUUGUCAAGAUACUAGGAUUCCAGGCCUUAUUUACAGCCAAUGAAUCUGGUGAACCUGUGCGAUCCAGCCAAUCACAGUUGAUUUGCUGCUGCUCAAAGUCUAACCCAGAAGUUUUUUUGCCCAGAAAAAUGGGGAGAGUCAACACGUGGUCCAUGCAAUGGGUCACUGCCAUAUUGACUCAGGUAAUAAUCAAGUGUCCUCAAAAAUAUUAAUCUGCAUAUUAGAAUUAUUCCUAAAGGAUAAUGUGACAAUGAAUACUGGGGUAAUGUUGCUGAAAAUUCAGCUUUGCAUCACAGAAAUAAAUUACAUUUUAAAAUAUAUUUAAAUAAAAAACAGUUGUUUAAAAUAGUAAUAUUUUACAAUAUUUCAUUUUUGCUGUGUUUUUUGGUCAAGUAAAUUCAGCCUAGGUGAGCAUAAGAGGCUUCUUUCAAAAACAUGACAUAAGUCUUACUAACCCCACUAUUUUGAAUGGUAGGGAGCAUUGGAAAUCUUAGAUCUUGG